This 2879-nucleotide ribosomal RNA is filed under the name Burkholderia cepacia. RNAcentral's name for it is "bacterial LSU rRNA". It matches the Rfam family "Bacterial large subunit ribosomal RNA". Lineage: Bacteria; Pseudomonadati; Pseudomonadota; Betaproteobacteria; Burkholderiales; Burkholderiaceae. The record is from RNAcentral.
UCAAGCGAACAAGUGCAUGUGGUGGAUGCCUUGGCGAUCACAGGCGAUGAAGGACGCGGUAGCCUGCGAAAAGCUACGGGGAGCUGGCAAACAAGCUUUGAUCCGUAGAUGUCCGAAUGGGGAAACCCACUCCUUUUGGAGUGUCCAUGGCUGAAUACAUAGGCCAUGUGAAGCGAACGCGGUGAACUGAAACAUCUAAGUAACCGCAGGAAAAGAAAUCAACCGAGAUUCCCAAAGUAGUGGCGAGCGAAAUGGGAUGAGCCUUGCACUCUUUAUUUGUAUUGUUAGCCGAACGCUCUGGAAAGUGCGGCCAUAGCAGGUGAUAGCCCUGUAGGCGAAAACAGUAUGAAAGAACUAGGUGUGCGACAAGUAGGGCGGGACACGUGAAAUCCUGUCUGAAGAUGGGGGGACCAUCCUCCAAGGCUAAAUACUCGUGAUCGACCGAUAGUGAACCAGUACCGUGAGGGAAAGGCGAAAAGAACCCCGGGAGGGGAGUGAAAUAGAUCCUGAAACCGCAUGCAUACAAACAGUCGGAGCCUCGCAAGGGGUGACGGCGUACCUUUUGUAUAAUGGGUCAGCGACUUACGUUCAGUAGCAAGCUUAACCGUAUAGGGCAGGCGUAGCGAAAGCGAGUCCGAAUAGGGCGUUCAGUUGCUGGGCGUAGACCCGAAACCAGGUGAUCUAUCCAUGGCCAGGAUGAAGGUGCGGUAACACGUACUGGAGGUCCGAACCCACUAACGUUGAAAAGUUAGGGGAUGAGCUGUGGAUAGGGGUGAAAGGCUAAACAAACCUGGAAAUAGCUGGUUCUCUCCGAAAACUAUUUAGGUAGUGCCUCGUGUCUCACCUUCGGGGGUAGAGCACUGUCAUGGUUGGGGGGUCUAUUGCAGAUUACCCCGCCAUAGCAAACUCCGAAUACCGAAGAGUGCAAUCACGGGAGACAGACAUCGGGUGCUAACGUCCGGUGUCAAGAGGGAAACAACCCAGACCGCCAGCUAAGGUCCCCAAAUAUAGCUAAGUGGGAAACGAAGUGGGAAGGCUAAAACAGUCAGGAGGUUGGCUUAGAAGCAGCCACCCUUUAAAGAAAGCGUAAUAGCUCACUGAUCGAGUCGUCCUGCGCGGAAGAUGUAACGGGGCUAAGCUAUAUACCGAAGCUGCGGAUGCGUGCUUGCACGCAUGGUAGGAGAGCGUUCCGUAAGCCUGCGAAGGUGCCUUGUAAAGGGUGCUGGAGGUAUCGGAAGUGCGAAUGCUGACAUGAGUAGCGAUAAAGGGGGUGAAAGGCCCCCUCGCCGUAAGCCCAAGGUUUCCUACGCAACGUUCAUCGGCGUAGGGUGAGUCGGCCCCUAAGGCGAGGCAGAAAUGCGUAGCUGAUGGGAAGCAGGUCAAUAUUCCUGCACCAUUGUUAGAUGCGAUGGGGGGACGGAUCGCGGAAGGUUGUCCGGGUGUUGGAAGUCCCGGUCGCUGCAUUGGAGAAGGCGCUUAGGCAAAUCCGGGCGCGUAAUUCAAGGGUGUGGCGCGAGCUCCUUAGGGAGCGAAGCAAUUGGAAGUGGUUCCAAGAAAAGCCUCUAAGCUUCAGUCUAACGAUGACCGUACCGCAAACCGACACAGGUGGGCGAGAUGAGUAUUCUAAGGCGCUUGAGAGAACUCGGGAGAAGGAACUCGGCAAAUUGGUACCGUAACUUCGGGAUAAGGUACGCCCUUGUAGCUUGACCAGCCUGCGCUGGAAGGGUGAAGGGGUUGCAAUAAACUGGUGGCUGCGACUGUUUAAUAAAAACACAGCACUCUGCAAACACGAAAGUGGACGUAUAGGGUGUGACGCCUGCCCGGUGCCGGAAGAUUAAAUGAUGGGGUGCAAGCUCUUGAUUGAAGUCCCGGUAAACGGCGGCCGUAACUAUAACGGUCCUAAGGUAGCGAAAUUCCUUGUCGGGUAAGUUCCGACCUGCACGAAUGGCGUAACGAUGGCCACACUGUCUCCUCCCGAGACUCAGCGAAGUUGAAGUGUUUGUGAUGAUGCAAUCUACCCGCGGCUAGACGGAAAGACCCCAUGAACCUUUACUGUAGCUUUGCAUUGGACUUUGAACCGAUCUGUGUAGGAUAGGUGGGAGGCUAUGAAACCGGAACGCUAGUUUCGGUGGAGCCGUCCUUGAAAUACCACCCUGGUUUGUUUGAGGUUCUAACCUUGGCCCGUGAUCCGGGUCGGGGACAGUGCAUGGUAGGCAGUUUGACUGGGGCGGUCUCCUCCCAAAGCGUAACGGAGGAGUACGAAGGUACGCUAGGUACGGUCGGAAAUCGUGCUGAUAGUGCAAUGGCAUAAGCGUGCUUAACUGCGAGACCGACAAGUCGAGCAGGUGCGAAAGCAGGUCAUAGUGAUCCGGUGGUUCUGUAUGGAAGGGCCAUCGCUCAACGGAUAAAAGGUACUCUGGGGAUAACAGGCUGAUACCGCCCAAGAGUUCAUAUCGACGGCGGUGUUUGGCACCUCGAUGUCGGCUCAUCUCAUCCUGGGGCUGUAGCCGGUCCCAAGGGUAUGGCUGUUCGCCAUUUAAAGAGGUACGUGAGCUGGGUUUAAAACGUCGUGAGACAGUUUGGUCCCUAUCUGCCGUGGGCGUUGGAUAUUUGAAGGGGGCUGCUCCUAGUACGAGAGGACCGGAGUGGACGAACCUCUGGUGUACCGGUUGUCACGCCAGUGGCAUCGCCGGGUAGCUAUGUUCGGAAGAGAUAACCGCUGAAAGCAUCUAAGCGGGAAACUCGCCUUAAGAUGAGAUAUCCCUGGGGACUAGAUCCCCUUGAAGGGUCGUUCGAGACCAGGACGUUGAUAGGUCAGGUGUGUAAGCGCAGUAAUGCGUUCAGCUAACUGAUACUAAUUGCCCGUAAGGCUUGAUCCU